GGGGAAAUAGCUUAGUUGGUUAGAGUGUUGGUCUGUCACGCCAGAAGUCGCGGGUUCGAACAUCGUUUUCCCCG
Molecule: non-coding RNA, 74 nt
Organism: Triticum aestivum (bread wheat)
Lineage: Eukaryota; Viridiplantae; Streptophyta; Magnoliopsida; Poales; Poaceae
Source: Rfam